RNAcentral lists this ribosomal RNA (492 nucleotides) under uncultured bacterium. RNAcentral describes it as "partial 16S ribosomal RNA". It matches the Rfam family "Bacterial small subunit ribosomal RNA", at positions 29 to 507 of the family's 1533-position model. The record is from RNAcentral.
AGUGAACGCUGGCGGUAGGCCUAACACAUGCAAGUCGAACGGCAGCACAGUAAGAGCUUGCUCUUACGGGUGGCGAGUGGCGGACGGGUGAGGAAUACAUCGGAAUCUACUUUUUCGUGGGGGAUAACGUAGGGAAACUUACGCUAAUACCGCAUACGACCUACGGGUGAAAGCAGGGGAUCUUCGGACCUUGCGCGAUUGAAUGAGCCGAUGUCGGAUUAGCUAGUUGGCGGGGUAAGGGCCCACCAAGGCGACGACCCGUAGCUGGUCUGAGAGGAUGAUCAGCCACACUGGAACUGAGACACGGUCCAGACUCCUACGGGAGGCAGCAGUGGGGAAUAUUGGACAAUGGGCGCAAGCCUGAUCCAGCCAUACCGCGUGGGUGAAGAAGGCCUUCGGGUUGUAAAGCCCUUUUGUUGGGAAAGAAAAGCAGCAGGUUAAUACCCCGCUGUUCUGACGGUACCCAAAGAAUAAGCACCGGCUAACUUCGCG